GCACUAGUGGUAUAGUGGUAGCAUAGGUCCUUGCCAGACCAGGUGCAUGGGCGUCUGGUGCGGAACGGACCAGACCCGAGUUCGAUUCUCGGCUAGUGCA
This 100-nucleotide transfer RNA is filed under the name Chlamydomonas reinhardtii. It matches the Rfam family "tRNA". From Rfam's summary of the family: Transfer RNA (tRNA) molecules are approximately 80 nucleotides in length. Lineage: Eukaryota; Viridiplantae; Chlorophyta; Chlorophyceae; Chlamydomonadales; Chlamydomonadaceae. The record is from Rfam by way of RNAcentral.